UUUGUUUUCCUCACUCCUCGACUUAGCAAUCAUUCACGUGAAUAUGAACGAGUCUGACAAAACAAAUAUUCCAAAUAAGCAUAUGGACACUUGAAGCAAGAAAAGACAUAACAAACAAGAUAAAUAAAUACCAAAGGCAUACAUGAAAGAACUCAUUUACAGCAUAGUAGUCACAAAAAAACAAAUGCCUAACAAAACCGAUUUCAGACCCAUUAAUGGGCCAUUUGACUUGUUACGGAGUCGACCGAUCAAUUAAAACGAGAUUAGUUCGAAAUUAGCAAAACUAACAUUCUCCCAAGUUAACCUUCUUCUUUUUUACUGGACGAGCUAUGAAAUUUUCAGUGAUAUGAUUCAUGGUCGCACUGAAAUAACAGUUCAUCCUAUUCAUUGUAACAUUAAAGCACCUAACCAAAUAAUGAGACUAAAACAGCAAACGAGAAGAAACCAACAUACAUGUUAUACCAAAUUAAUCGAUAUCCUUCACCAAACUAGAAUAAUGAGAUGAAACAACAUGAAGGUUUGAGGAAUGCGCCUCUACUGCAGCACACUUUUUGAAAGAAUGAUUAAGAAAAGAGCACCCAACAAGCUUUUACGAGUAAAUGAACCAGUGGCCGGAACCUCAAUUGGAAUUGACUGACGGGCGGAAAACUGAUCUAGCCGACUAGCUAGUUGCACAUGGAAACGGAAAAAAAACAAACGCCAGCAGUCCCGUCGGAGUCUGGUCGGACUGACCACCAGAGACGAGCUCAGGCUCGGACGAACUUGUUAUUCAGGUGUUAUUUCGGUAAGAUUUUUGGACCUUCUUCGGCUAAUUUCAGCAAGUUUAUGGCUGAAUUUCGUUGGGGUUUAGGGCUGGUUGUCGCUUGGUUGUUGUAGUGAGUUUCAGGGGUGGUUGGUUUGUGAAGACGAAGAGGAAUGGCGAUAGGUGUUUUGCUGAAGAAGAAAGAGGAAUCGACGGGAUCUUUUUUUUUCUGUUCAGCUGCAGCAUUUUUUUUGUUUUUGUCUAAGUUUUUUAGGUCCUCCCAAUCAGAGAAAACGGAUGUCCUUUUUUGGUCCUUAGCUUUCAGCAGCUUAGGGCUUAUUCAUGGAAGUAGCUGCCUUUUUUUUGUUUUUUAUCAAGAAGAAGCUUAGGUCUCUAUGACGAAGAAGGACCAGAUCCGGGAGG
Molecule: long non-coding RNA, 1165 nt
Filed under: Nicotiana benthamiana
Lineage: Eukaryota; Viridiplantae; Streptophyta; Magnoliopsida; Solanales; Solanaceae
Description: long non-coding RNA (NBEN_LNC032126)
Source: RNAcentral